Molecule: ribosomal RNA, 442 nt
Filed under: uncultured Bacillota bacterium
Lineage: Bacteria; Bacillati; Bacillota
Description: bacterial SSU rRNA
Rfam family: Bacterial small subunit ribosomal RNA
Source: RNAcentral
GGGCCCGCACAAGCAGUGGAGUAUGUGGUUUAAUUCGAAGCAACGCGAAGAACCUUACCUGGGCUUGACAUCCCUCUGACCGUCCUAGAGAUAGGGCUUCUCUUCGGAGCAGAGGUGACAGGUGGUGCAUGGUUGUCGUCAGCUCGUGUCGUGAGAUGUUGGGUUAAGUCCCGCAACGAGCGCAACCCCUAUUGUCAGUUGCCAUCAUUAAGUUGGGCACUCUGGCGAGACUGCCGGUGACAAAUCGGAGGAAGGUGGGGACGACGUCAAAUCAUCAUGCCCCUUAUGUCCAGGGCUACACACGUACUACAAUGGCCGAUAACAAAGUGCAGCAAAACCGUGAGGUGGAGCGAAUCACAAAACUCGGUCCCAGUUCAGAUUGCAGGCUGCAACUCGCCUGCAUGAAGGUGGAAUUGCUAGUAAUCGACGAAUCAGAAUGUCG